CUAAUACCGGAUAGGACGAAAGUUUAAAGGUGCUCCUGGCACCGCUGAUGGAUGAGCCUGCGGCGCAUUAGCUAGUUGGUAGGGUAAAGGCCUACCAAGGCGACGAUGCGUAGCCGACCUGAGAGGGUGAACGGCCACACUGGGACGGAGACACGGCCCAGACUCCUACGGGAGGCAGCAGUAGGGAAUCUUGGGCAAUGGGCGAAAGCCUGACCGAGCAAAGCCGCGUGAAUGGUGAGGGCCUUCGGGUUGUAA
RNAcentral lists this ribosomal RNA (255 nucleotides) under uncultured bacterium. Its description in RNAcentral is "partial 16S ribosomal RNA". It matches the Rfam family "Bacterial small subunit ribosomal RNA", at positions 163 to 428 of the family's 1533-position model. The record is from RNAcentral.